GUGGGGAAUAUUGGACAAUGGGCGCAAGCCUGAUCCAGCCAUGCCGCGUGCAGGAUGAAGGCCUUCGGGUUGUAAACUGCUUUUGUACGGAACGAAAAGACUUCUUCUAAUACAGGAGGUCCAUGACGGUACCGUAAGAAUAAGCACCGGCUAACUACGUGCCAGCAGCCGCGGUAAUACGUAGGGUGCAAGCGUUAAUCGGAAUUACUGGGCGUAAAGCGUGCGCAGGCGGUUAUAUAAGACAGAUGUGAAAUCCCCGGGCUCAACCUGGGAACUGCAUUUGUGACUGUAUAGCUAGAGUACGGUAGAGGGGGAUGGAAUUCCGCGUGUAGCAGUGAAAUGCGUAGAUAUGCGGAGGAACACCGAUGGCGAAGGCAAUCCCCUGGACCUGUACUGACGCUCAUGCACGAAAGCGUGGGGAGCAAACAGGAUUAGAUACCCUUGUAGUCC
RNAcentral lists this ribosomal RNA (450 nucleotides) under uncultured bacterium. Its description in RNAcentral is "partial 16S ribosomal RNA". It matches the Rfam family "Bacterial small subunit ribosomal RNA", at positions 354 to 796 of the family's 1533-position model. The record is from RNAcentral.